GCCGGGCAUGGUGGCGCGCGCCUGUAGUCCCAGCUACUUGGGAGGCUGAGGCUGGAGGAUCGCUUGAGCCUAGGAGUUCUGGACUGCAGUGCGCUAUGCCGAUCCGGUGUCCGCACUAAGUUCGGCAUCAAUAUGGUGAUCUCCCGGGAGCGGGGGACCACCAGGUUGCCUAGGGAGAGGGUUCCUGAGUUCGAGAGUGCCAGAGUUUGAGAGGGUUCCCCAAUAGGAGAGUUACAGAGUUACAGAGUAAGAGAGAGUUCCACAGUU
RNAcentral lists this signal recognition particle RNA (267 nucleotides) under Erinaceus europaeus (western European hedgehog). Its description in RNAcentral is "Metazoan signal recognition particle RNA". It matches the Rfam family "Metazoan signal recognition particle RNA", at positions 1 to 233 of the family's 299-position model. From Rfam's summary of the family: The signal recognition particle (SRP) is a universally conserved ribonucleoprotein. It is involved in the co-translational targeting of proteins to membranes. Lineage: Eukaryota; Metazoa; Chordata; Mammalia; Eulipotyphla; Erinaceidae. The record is from Rfam by way of RNAcentral.